RNAcentral lists this transfer RNA (68 nucleotides) under Marmota monax (woodchuck). RNAcentral's name for it is "tRNA.Gly". Lineage: Eukaryota; Metazoa; Chordata; Mammalia; Rodentia; Sciuridae. The record is from RNAcentral.
GGUUUGUGGCUCAGUGGUAGAGCGCUUGCCUACCAUGGGUGAGACACAGAGUUCAAUUCUCAGCACCA